Molecule: ribosomal RNA, 459 nt
Filed under: uncultured bacterium
Lineage: Bacteria
Description: partial 16S ribosomal RNA
Rfam family: Bacterial small subunit ribosomal RNA
Source: RNAcentral
CCUACGGGUGGCAGCAGUGAGGAAUAUUGGUCAAUGGGCGGAAGCCUGAACCAGCCAAGUAGCGUGCGGGAUGAAGGCCCUACGGGUCGUAAACCGCUUUUGCACGGGGAUAACAGCCUCCACUUGUGGAGGUCUGCAGGUACCGGGCGAAAAAGCGCCGGCUAAUUCCGUGCCAGCAGCCGCGGUAAUACGGAAGGCGCGAGCGUUAUCCGGAUUCAUUGGGUUUAAAGGGAGCGUAGGCGGGCGUUCAAGUCAGCGGUAAAAUCGCGAGGCUCAACCGCGCCCCGCAGUUGAAACUGGGCGCCUUGAGUGCACGAGAGGCAGGCGGAAUUCGUGGUGUAGCGGUGAAAUGCAUAGAUAUCACGCGGAACCCCGAUUGCGAAGGCAGCCUGCCGGGGUGCGACUGACGCUGAGGCUCGAAGGUGUGGGUAUCAAACAGGAUUAGAUACCCGAGUAGUC